AUGGACGCAAGUCUGAUGGAGCAACGCCGCGUGAGUGAAGAAGGGUUUCGGCUCGUAAAGCUCUGUUGGUAGUGAAGAAAGAUAGAGGUAGUAACUGGCCUUUAUUUGACGGUAAUUACUUAGAAAGUCACGGCUAACUACGUGCCAGCAGCCGCGGUAAUACGUAGGUGGCAAGCGUUGUCCGGAUUUAUUGGGCGUAAAGCGAGUGCAGGCGGUUCAAUAAGUCUGAUGUGAAAGCCUUCGGCUCAACCGGAGAAUUGCAUCAGAAACUGUUGAACUUGAGUGCAGAAGAGGAGAGUGGAACUCCAUGUGUAGCGGUGGAAUGCGUAGAUAUAUGGAAGAACACCAGUGGCGAAGGCGGCUCUCUGGUCUGCAACUGACGCUGAGACUCGAAAGCAUGGGUAGCGAACAGGAUUAGAUACCCUGGUAGUCCAUGCCGUAAACGAUGAGUGCUAAGUGUUGGGAGGUUUCCGCCUCUCAGUGCUGCAGCUAACGCAUUAAGCACUCCGCCUGGGGAGUACGACCGCAAGGUUGAAACUCAAAGGAAUUGACGGGGGCCCGCACAAGCGGUGGAGCAUGUGGUUUAAUUCGAAGCAACGCGAAGAACCUUACCAGGUCUUGACAUC
Molecule: ribosomal RNA, 626 nt
Filed under: Lactobacillus gasseri
Lineage: Bacteria; Bacillati; Bacillota; Bacilli; Lactobacillales; Lactobacillaceae
Description: bacterial SSU rRNA
Rfam family: Bacterial small subunit ribosomal RNA
Source: RNAcentral